UUGCUUCAGCAGCACAUAUACUAAAAUUGGAAUGAUACGUGGAAGAUUAGCAUGACCCCAGUGCAAAGAUGACACACAAAUUCAUGAAGCAUUAAAAAAAAAA
Hyaena hyaena (striped hyena) is the source of this 103-nucleotide small nuclear RNA. NCBI's taxonomy places the organism in Eukaryota, Metazoa, Chordata, Mammalia, Carnivora, Hyaenidae. The record is from RefSeq and is a predicted model, not a curated record.